GGGAUGGGGCGGCGGAGCAGGAGGUGGGCUGAGGUGGCGCAGCGACCCCCAGCCAGGGGCGGGCUCAGCCCGUGCCCACGGCCCGGCUGCUCUACCUAUCCCUGUCGCCUCCUCCGGUUUUACUCGCGGCGGGGUCCUGAGUCGGCAGCACUGAGCCCGGAAGGAUGCUCAUCGCGGCAGGGGGAUCCGGAUGGCUCUGUGACCAUCAGCAGCAGAGCAGUGCGUCCUCAGGGAGCGGGAGGACUCGGUGCAGGUUGUACCGUUGGGACACCCCAAGGAAACACCAUCGGGACACCUCAAGGACCAUCAUGGGGAUACCCCAAGGGGACACCACCGGGAUGCUCCAAGGAGACACCAUCGGGACAUCCCAAGGGACCAUCACUGGGACGCUCCAAGGAGACACCAUUGGGACGCUCCAAGGGUCAACACCCACAGCCACAGGGGGGAUUCGGGUCCGGGGGGGCCCUCCUGCUCAUUCUCUGUUUUCUGCCUUAAUUAGAACCCGGAGAGACCGGGCGGAAUCGCAUUAGCGCGGGGCCCCGGUGCGCGGAGCCAUCCAUCUUUUUUUAUUACAGCGUAAUGGGGCUGCUCGCGAGGCGCCGUGCGAUUUGUCACAGGCCUCGUUCCCUGAUAACGGGCAUUUGUCAUCACUUUCUUCCCGUGUUAAUGUCAUCAUCGGCGGGCUGACAGGCGGACCCGCGGAGGGAGCGCUGGCGACAGACCACAUCCGUCAACCUAAUAUUUCCGUGGCUGUGGGGAUCGGCCGGGCUGCGCGCACGCAUUAAAGGGCUUAUGGGGGAGAGAGAGGGGGGAAAGGAAAGCUAAAAAAAAAAAAAAACUAAAAAGGAAAAAAAAAAAAAAAAAAGGAAAAAAAGAAGGGAAAAAAAAAAGGAAAAAAAAAGGGGGGGGGGGAGGAAGGAAAAAAAAAAAGAGGAAAAAAAAAAGAAGAAAAAAAAAGAGCCAUUGUAAUUAAUUAAAGUGUUGGCACGAGCACAGCACUGCAUGGGGACACGGCCGUGGCUUUCUGCUGGAGGACGCAGCAUCUUCUGGAUAGCACUGAGAGGAUAUUUGGGGCUGGGAAUCAGCAGAAAGGUCAUCGCUCUGCCCGGCCCGGCCCAGG
Molecule: long non-coding RNA, 1120 nt
Filed under: Gallus gallus (chicken)
Lineage: Eukaryota; Metazoa; Chordata; Aves; Galliformes; Phasianidae
Description: lncRNA (ENSGALG00010022892.1)
Source: RNAcentral